UGGAAGAAAUGUCAAGAAAUUAGAGAAAUAUCUAAGAUUUUUCUUGGAAUAACAUCACUAGGAGCUAUGUUUAGUCUUAGGCUGCUUCGUGGAUACAGGCCCUGGUCAUAGUGCUGACAUGAAACAGGUGGAGUUGGAUGUUGUUUCUACAGUACUGUCCCCCGUCUCAGGACAGCUGGCCGAUUGGUGUACGGAUCAGGAUGGAACUGCAGCG
Thalassophryne amazonica is the source of this 214-nucleotide long non-coding RNA. RefSeq lists it as uncharacterized. The transcript is spliced from 4 exons. NCBI's taxonomy places the organism in Eukaryota, Metazoa, Chordata, Actinopteri, Batrachoidiformes, Batrachoididae. The record is from RefSeq and is a predicted model, not a curated record.